UACGGAGGGUGCAAGCGUUAAUCGGAAUUACUGGGCGUAAAGCGCGCGUAGGCGGCUUGUUAAGUCGGAUGUGAAAUCCCCGGGCUCAACCUGGGAACUGCAUUCGAUACUGGCUGGCUAGAGUGUGGUAGAGGGAAGUGGAAUUCCAGGUGUAGCGGUGAAAUGCGUAGAUAUCUGGGGGAACAUCAGUGGCGAAGGCAGCCCCCUGGGAUAACACUGACGCUCAUGCACGAAAGCGUGGGGAGCAAACAGGAUUAGAAACCCGAGUAGU
RNAcentral lists this ribosomal RNA (271 nucleotides) under uncultured bacterium. Its description in RNAcentral is "partial 16S ribosomal RNA". It matches the Rfam family "Bacterial small subunit ribosomal RNA", at positions 524 to 794 of the family's 1533-position model. The record is from RNAcentral.